This 47-nucleotide transfer RNA is filed under the name Propithecus tattersalli (Tattersall's sifaka). RNAcentral's name for it is "partial tRNA-Leu". RNAcentral also lists the same sequence under 2 other names. The record is from RNAcentral. Lineage: Eukaryota; Metazoa; Chordata; Mammalia; Primates; Indriidae.
ACUUUUAAAGGAUAAGAGUUAUCCGUUGGUCUUAGGAACCAAAAAAU